CGGUGUUUCUAUAAUUGCUCUGUGAAUUAUGGGAUCAGUAACGAUGCUAAUCAAAUCAUUUCCAAGUGUAGCCAAAUUAUACUAUGACUUGUAGGAGAAUUUCCACAAGUCAUAAACUCAUAAACAUUGUAGCAAUCUACAGAGUACAAUAGAAAUACAAACUACUUAAAUAUUAAGAUAUUAUGCAUCAUAUAUACACAGUGCCUUCAACCGGAACCUACAUCGAGGCAUAUACGAUUGUACAUACAAAAGACAACCUCAAAACGUUAAUGAAAUGUCACUGACAUGGUGUAGUACUACCAAAAGUCAUAGAUAGAAUUGUACAAAGUACAUACAAUUGUUGGUGCUUAGUAAUGACAAACAAUGCUAUAUUUGCAUAAAAUCCUAAAAUCCUGUAUUGUUGAUGACUUCAUUCAACUAUUAACAUCGUUGUUUCAUGUGGAAUAUUCACCUUUAUUAUACUCAUCUUUAUUUUGCUCGGAAUAACCACUGCAAUGAACAUGUGGGAGUAAAUUCGACCACAUAAAGAAAAGCAGCAACCACCCCAAACAACGAGACUUUUACGAUUUCCUUUUUCAAGUACUCAUUUUUUACUCUGAAAAUUGUUGCAUACUAAUCAACUCUAUUAUGACUCUUUUCAAGUACUCAUUUUUUACUCUUGAAAACUCUUGCAUAUUAAUCAACUCUAUUAUGACUCUCUUCAACAGGAAAUGAUUCACUUUGAAUCUCCACUCACUUUGGAUUACAAGUCAUUGUGAGAAAAAUACCUCGGAGUCCAAAUUUCGCAACAAGUGCUAGCGCAUCAUGUAACGGCAAUCCAGAUCACGCAGCCCACCUAUGAGAUUGGAAUAGCCACCCGUGUCAACAACAACAACACACAUCUUUCUUUUUAUUGAUUUUUUAUUUGAAAAUUACAAACCACAGUCAAUAAAAAAUUAAUAGAAACACCACUUACUAAACAAUCUAACAUAAUGAUAAAUUGAAUUGUGCAAAUCUAAACACUGACACAACAAAUAUAAUUAUGCACCUCUCAAGCUUCUCGACCGAGCACUCAGCGCAGGUGAACACUCACGGAAAAAAAUAAGUGGCAUAGCCAUAAAAGUUGCACAUGGAUAAGGUAAGCUAAAACGUAAAUGUUUUGAAGUUGUCACAUGGUCGUGUAAGACAUUUGAACAAAGAUUUAAUAUUAAAUUCCCAGCAAAACAAAUACAAGCAACAAAGAAUUGAGAAGUACAUGGCAGGUGUGACAACACAGCUCGCAACAUGCAUUAUAGAAGAAUUAAAAUUACCAUGCACCAUACUCUAAACCUAAGACAUGGAACAAAUAAACUAAAGGUAAGUGUGCAACCGAUACAAAUGAGCCCCGAAAAAAGACAAAACGCUAGAAAACACAAAAUUAGAAAGUAAAAAUAAAUGUUGGAGAUCAUAAGAAUGCAAAAUAUCCAACAGAAAAGGUGAGCAAAUCACCUAGUAGGAAAUUAGGAAUAAACUAUAGUACUCCUUAUUUAAUGAUGAAGCCUCUUUUUUUCCUUCAUUAGGGAAUAUCACUUCCUUUACAAUCACCAAUCCUGCUACGAAGGAAUUUCCUAUUUAACGUCUCAAAAAAAGGUAUUUCCUAAUUAAAAGUAGUUUUGCUUUUCUAAAGUUUCGACCUUGUAGUUCAUUUCCAACAUCACUUAUAGAGUUCUUGUAGCUAUGCUAUUUACUUAAACCCAAUUUUAGUUACCAAUAUUGAAUUUGAUGAUUAUCCAGGUGGAGAGAGUAAUUAUUUGUUCAAUUACUGUCAAAUUAUUUCAAACUCAGAAAAGGUAAGGGUACUGUAUUGAGUUGGGCUACAUGAUAGUAUACCUAAGAUUCUCGAGAGCUAUAGUUCUAUAUUUAUGAUGGUGUGUUAGUAUAUGAUCUAUUGGCAUAAUUUGUUGGUGUGUUUUUAUGAUGGUGUGUUAGUAUAUGAUCUAUUGGCAUAAUUUGUUGGUGUGUUUGAAAAAUUUAUGUUCCAUAGGCAAGCUCAAGUUGUUUAUGCAUUUUAACAUGGACCCUAAAAACUAAUACUACAUUUUAAUUUAUCGUGAUUUCAAUGAGUAAGAGAGAAAAUGCAUGUUAUGGAGACAUACCCAAGUGCAAGAUAAUGCUCACUACGCCCGAGGAGAUGUAACUCUUGUAGAAGUGAAUGUCGGCGAACGAGCACGUGCCUGAGAAUAAUCUAGAAAAAAGAAUCACAUGAAUAUUUAAACAAAUCAUAUUUAUCUUUUUUACUGGGGAGGGGGAGCAGUGGGGUUUGAACCCUAGUACAAACAGGAGUUCGCUUCGCUUGGUGUCCCCUUGAGGACAUCAAACAAAUCAUAUUAAUACUACUACAUUUUGUACAAAAAUUAGUACAUGAAAAAUUAAGAAUAUCAAAGUUUAAUUAAAAUCCUACUUAUUCAUAAUUAAAAAAUUAACUAAAAUCCUAUUGACAUAAUUAUAUCGAGCAUCCCUAUUUUGGAAGCACCCGAUUAUAUUUUUGUCCAGUACUUCCAAUAUACCUACGGAAAUUACUUCAAUCAUUAAACAUUGCAAAAGUAAUAAAUUAAUCAAACAAUAAUUAAAUCAAUUAUAUUCAAUUAAUUAAUCAAAAUAAGUCUAAGUUAAAACUCUAGGCCCAUUCCUUAAUCCUUAUCAUCAAAUCCAACAAUAUUUCAUUAUCAUCAUCUGUACUCAUGAUCCAUUCCAAACACACUAUUAUUAUCAAUCGAAGAUAGAGACUUAGUUAAAAUCCCCUGUUCCACGGUGCUAUCUCUACUCUCUCAUUCUCGGUUGCACCCAUAGUCACCUCUCUUUGUGUACCCUGUCAAUACUGUCUCACAGCUUCAUCUGCCUCUGCACUUCACAUUUGCAACAGAGAAUGAAUCUCAUCCCCGGCUAUCAAAUCUCAAAUCCCUCUUCUUCUUAAUUUUCGGCGAAUAACCAGAACGGUUUGUUCUCUCCAUCAAUCAGCCGUCCGCCUAUAUCUCACCGCCGUUCCCUAUCGUCGACCACUCUCCUCAGCUCGGCCCGACAAUCAGCAGCUAAGAAAACUGCGUCGAUGUUGCCGACCAGCACUCUCAACACAGACAACAACACAAGAAAUUGAGCCACAACUCAGCCAAAUUCCCAAUCGUCGACCCACCCUGCACACCUAAGCUGCUGCCGAUGCCAACGCCAACCCACACCCUCAACGCAAGCAACAAAUCAAGAAACCCAGCCCCAAGACUAUAGUUCUAUUGUGUUGUGCUGUGCUCAGUUUUGUGAAAAAAUUUCUAGGGUUCAUCAGAAAAUUUAAUGAUAAAAUGCAGGUUUAAGAAAUCAAAGCUCACCUCCUUAUUUUGCUGGUGUAAUGGAUUUCUCUUUUGUGGAUUUUGGUUGAAUUUUGAUCUGACUUUGCACUUUCACCGUCGAAUUUGGGGGAGAUUCUUACGGCAGAACUCCUUUUUUCUUUUCGUCGCCGGAAUUGUAUCAGAUGGUCAAAGUGAAAAACAAAAAUUUGUGAAUCUGAUGAGAUAGACUCAAAUAUUGGAAAAAGGUCACAAAUGGAACGAAAAUUACGAAAAUGCCAUGGGCACUAUUUUUACUACAGUACUAUUCCUCACAAUAGUACCC
Molecule: long non-coding RNA, 3618 nt
Filed under: Salvia miltiorrhiza (redroot sage)
Lineage: Eukaryota; Viridiplantae; Streptophyta; Magnoliopsida; Lamiales; Lamiaceae
Description: long non-coding RNA (SMIL_LNC005595)
Source: RNAcentral